Hemicordylus capensis (graceful crag lizard) is the source of this 990-nucleotide long non-coding RNA. RefSeq lists it as uncharacterized. The transcript is spliced from 3 exons. The record is from RefSeq and is a predicted model, not a curated record. NCBI's taxonomy places the organism in Eukaryota, Metazoa, Chordata, Lepidosauria, Squamata, Cordylidae.
GCAGGAAGAAUCACUGAUGUGGCAUCUCGAUGGUAGCAAGAGGGACAGACAAGUGGCAUAAUAAUCAGGUACAUGAAGAUCCCUGGUGCCACGGAAGCCAGUGCUGCUGAUAGGAUCUACAAGCCCUGAACUUAUUCACAGUGAGAAGAAAGUCAGAGUCAAGAAGAAUAAAGAGAGUCAAGAAGGCAGAGUUGGUGCAGUGGAGUGCUGUGUACAGCUGUGAUUCGGAAGAAGAAGGAGAGAGGAAGGAAGAAAGGACGGAUCAGUGUGGUUCAGAGUCUGAAGUCACAAGCAAUAGCUGAAAAUCACUAGAGAGCAUGAAGACUCUCUCGAGGAAUGAAAAUACAGGACCACCAGUCUGGAUUUAACCCCAGGCCAGUAAAAGUGGCUAAGCUGCAGAAAAGAACAAGCCACGUUGCUGACAAGAGAAGGCUGACCAUUUCCUGCCAAUGUCCUUUAAGCAGCGAACAUGGAGAGAAGAUCAGGGUCGGUCCUCAGGCUGCUAAAUCUUCACUUAUGGGUUGAAAAGAUAAAGCUGUUUCAAAUAACAACGGAUAAAAUAAGAAAGGCAACAGCACACUUUCUCUUUUUGAGAGUGGCUUUCUAAAACUGCUGAAGAAUUUUGCUCCAGGACUAUUAGUAGAAGACUACUGAAAUAAUUUUUAAUGAUAUGUGAUUUGAUUUUAAUGUGCUAAAUGCAAUAAGCAUGUUUAAAGAUACUCCAUUAGAGUGUGACAUGGACUCCCAGCACAUCCAACAGUUCUCUUUAAUAUCUGAAGACAUGCCAAAACAUUUAAUUUUUAACAGCAAUAAAUCUCUUUGGGAAUUCUUGCCAAAGGGUCUCUAGGAGUAUAGAGCAUUAUCCAAAGUUAUGCUCUUCAUAAUUUAUGGAACUAUUUUCCUUCUUUAUUAUUACUUUACUUGAAUAUCUAGUUUGUAUAGCCUCAUAAAAUUCUUCAUCAAACCAGCGAAGCAAAAUAUAUUUUAAGA